This is a non-coding RNA of Trichonephila inaurata madagascariensis, 78 nucleotides long. The record is from the annotation of a GenBank genome assembly. NCBI's taxonomy places the organism in Eukaryota, Metazoa, Arthropoda, Arachnida, Araneae, Nephilidae.
GGCCCGUUAGCCUGAAGUUGGUUAGAGUGUCGUGCUAAUAACGCGAAGCGUCGCGGGUUCGGAUCCCCUCACGGGCCG